GGGGAUGCACUGGUUUCGACGGAGGUCGUUGUGAGGGUGAUAAGCAAGCCGCAGUAGAAAACUCUGCGUUAUCAAAGUUCAACCUAAAGCAAACGCUGAUAGCGAAACUUAUGCAGAGCCUGCUCUGCUUGCUGCCUAACUUUUAGGCAGCCUUCCUGCCGGUUCUUUUCCUGUCUGGAACCGGUUCGGGAGUCAAAUUAAGACGGGCAACUGUACCGCCUAAGCUUUGCGGCGGCACAGUAUUUAUGAAGCUACUUCUUACAGUUUCUUGUGGUUUUUGGGCUGUUUGAAGGAAAUAAACGGAAACCAAUAAGCUUGUAGAAAGUUGCCCAGGCAAACUUUCGGACAGGGGUUCGAUUCCCCUCAUCUCCACCA
This 375-nucleotide transfer-messenger RNA is filed under the name Christensenellaceae. Its description in RNAcentral is "JAAUYQ01 sp014805015 Standard tmRNA". It matches the Rfam family "transfer-messenger RNA". Rfam says of the family: Bacterial tmRNA, also known as 10Sa RNA or SsrA, is named for its dual tRNA and mRNA-like properties. Its role is to liberate the mRNA from a stalled ribosome. The record is from RNAcentral. Lineage: Bacteria; Bacillati; Bacillota; Clostridia; Christensenellales. RNAcentral also lists the same sequence under 1 other name.